Molecule: ribosomal RNA, 751 nt
Filed under: uncultured bacterium
Lineage: Bacteria
Description: bacterial SSU rRNA
Rfam family: Bacterial small subunit ribosomal RNA
Source: RNAcentral
CGAACGGGAAUUUGAGACUUCGGUGGAUUAUUUCUAGUGGCGGACGGGUGAGUAACGCGUGGGUACCUGCCUUAUACAGGGGGAUAACAGUCAGAAAUGGCUGCUAAUACCGCAUAAGGCUGCAUGGCAAAAACUCCGGUGGUAUAAGAUGGACCGCGUUGGAUUAGCUUGUUGGUGGGGUAACGGCCCACCAAGGCGACGAUCCAUAGCCGGCCUGAGAGGGUGAACGGCCACAUUGGGACUGAGACACGGCCCAGACUCCUACGGGAGGCAGCAGUGGGGAAUAUUGCACAAUGGGGGAAACCCUGAUGCAGCGACGCCGCGUGAAGGAAGAAGUAUCUCGGUAUGUAAACUCUAUCAGCAGGGAAGAUAGUGACGGUACUUGACUAAGAAGCCCCGGCUAACUACGUGCCAGCAGCCGCGGUAAUACGUAGGGGGCAAGCGUUAUCCGGAUUUACUGGGUGUAAAGGGAGCGUAGACGGUGUGGCAAGUCUGAUGUGAAAGGCAUGGGCUCAACCUGUGGACUGCAUUGGAAACUGUCAUACUUGAGUGCCGGAGGGGUAAGCGGAAUUCCUAGUGUAGCGGUGAAAUGCGUAGAUAUUAGGAGGAACACCAGUGGCGAAGGCGGCUUACUGGACGGUAACUGACGUUGAGGCUCGAAAGCGUGAGGAGCAAACAGGAUUAGAUACCCUGGUAGUCCACGCCGUAGACGAUGAAUACUAGGUGUCGGGUGGACACCAUUCGGUGCCGU